GUCUGUGCAAGGAGAGCCCCUGUGCCUCUGCCCAGGCCCUGGACUCCCCCAGGGUGGGCCCAGCACAGCCGUCUGUGACCACCAUGCUGCUGUGAAGGGGCCUCCCUGGGCCGCAUCACGUCUGGCCUGGCUCAGGUGCAGCCUGGGACCUGGGCUUGCUCGGAGCCUCCCUGCGCGGCACCCCCAGGUUGCUAACCACAGGUCUUCCCCUCCUGUCAGUCGGUUGUCAGGAGGGCUGGCCCGCCCCUCCGCUGGGGUGCGUUUUCAGUCGGGGGCAGAAUUGCUGCCGGUGUGAGGCGUCGGGCCCUAUCUGCCGUCUGGAGGGCGGGAAGAGAGCACUGCAUAUAGAGUUUUGCUUUUCUUGCUUGUCAGCUGAGACCCUGCCAUCGUGAAAGUGUCCACACUGGCACAACCGCUCCAGCUCCUGCAUCCAGUGUGGGCUGCUGCACAGGACACGGCCGUAGCCCCAGGACAGAGCAGGCUGCUCCCAGCUCCCACUGCUGUAGCUGUCUCCCCUGAUGUGGUUGUCACCUUGGCGUCCUCCAGCCUGGCAGAGCCCAGCUCAUCAGGGUGGCUUCUGCUGGAACCACGGCCGGUCCAAAAGGCUCUUUAAUCACCACUUUAUUCAUUCACGGAACAUCUGCUGAGCCGGGCCUGUCCAGCAUCUGCAGAUCUCCAACUGGAACAUGUGCCCCAGGAAACAAGAGAAGGAUCCCCAAAUAAAAUAUAGAACCCUGGAAUUUCAGAUAAACAACCCAUCGUUGUCGGCCCAUCAGCAAGAGCUUCCUCCCCACCUCUGUGAGUUUAAUUGCUAGGAGGCUUCAUGGGAAGUGGAGGAGCGUGUACUGUCACCCGCGUGCUCCACCUCUGGGCAUUUGUUAAUGCAGAGAAGACAUCAGGUCAUAUACCAAGCAGAAGGCUGAGAGACGGGAACAUAACGGGAAUUACUCCAGAAGAAAAUAAUUCCUCCCUCAAAGUCCUGUACAAAUGUCGUGUCCCUCCCACCUGCCUUGUCACCCAGGUGCCCUGCGGGAGAAGAUUCUGGGUGCUUCUGGAGAUGGAGAUCCAGGGUCCUCGAGGGCCCAGCUUUGCUGGAGAAGUAGACAGGCCCCCACCGGUCCCCACGCCUGGAGACCGUGCCAAAUUCCAUGCACAUUAAACUCAGCCCAGGGCGUCAGAGGCUCCCCUUCAGCGGCCUCCUCAGAACCUCCCAGACCCGCUGUGGCUGCAGGCCUGGCCCUGGUGUCCUGGAUGGAGGAGCAGAGGCCUGGAGAGCUGACUCUGUGGACACCCCCCGGCCUCACUGCACACCAAGGACAACUUCACACUAACAGCAUCCGUGCAGGGCCGCCCACAGGCCCGGGCAGGGGUGUUACAGUUUCUAGAAGCCCCUGCUUGUGUCUGUUGCCUUUUUCACGCAGACCACUGCACACAGCCCGGUGCCGGCCUCGCUCUGAGGACCAGAUGGGCCGGCCCCGCUCUGAGGACCAGAUGGGCUGUGGCACCCACAUGCACUUCGUGUUGGGCACCCCCACCCCCCACCCCCAGCACCCUGCCUGGAGACACCUGUGAGCCGGUCAGAGGCCCUCCUGGGCACACCCACCUGUCACUUGGAGCCCGCAGGCAGCGGCUCCCACAGCAUGAGCUCACAGACGCAGGGGUGUUUGAGUCAUAGCAACCCACGAAGCUCAAUUCAGCCCCAGGAGAGCAUUUUUAUUUUUGUUGAAAAUAUCCACACCCUUAGUAUUUGGGUUCCCAGAGUCUACAACAUGAGGUCUCCUGG
Pan troglodytes (chimpanzee) is the source of this 1783-nucleotide long non-coding RNA. RefSeq lists it as uncharacterized. The record is from RefSeq and is a predicted model, not a curated record. NCBI's taxonomy places the organism in Eukaryota, Metazoa, Chordata, Mammalia, Primates, Hominidae. The transcript has 6 exons.